RNAcentral lists this ribosomal RNA (855 nucleotides) under Escherichia coli. Its description in RNAcentral is "partial 23S ribosomal RNA". It matches the Rfam family "Bacterial large subunit ribosomal RNA", at positions 396 to 1251 of the family's 2925-position model. The record is from RNAcentral. Lineage: Bacteria; Pseudomonadati; Pseudomonadota; Gammaproteobacteria; Enterobacterales; Enterobacteriaceae.
GCUGUGAGCUCGAUGAGUAGGGCGGGACACGUGGUAUCCUGUCUGAAUAUGGGGGGACCAUCCUCCAAGGCUAAAUACUCCUGACUGACCGAUAGUGAACCAGUACCGUGAGGGAAAGGCGAAAAGAACCCCGGCGAGGGGAGUGAAAAAGAACCUGAAACCGUGUACGUACAAGCAGUGGGAGCACGCUUAGGCGUGUGACUGCGUACCUUUUGUAUAAUGGGUCAGCGACUUAUAUUCUGUAGCAAGGUUAACCGAAUAGGGGAGCCGAAGGGAAACCGAGUCUUAACUGGGCGUUAAGUUGCAGGGUAUAGACCCGAAACCCGGUGAUCUAGCCAUGGGCAGGUUGAAGGUUGGGUAACACUAACUGGAGGACCGAACCGACUAAUGUUGAAAAAUUAGCGGAUGACUUGUGGCUGGGGGUGAAAGGCCAAUCAAACCGGGAGAUAGCUGGUUCUCCCCGAAAGCUAUUUAGGUAGCGCCUCGUGAAUUCAUCUCCGGGGGUAGAGCACUGUUUCGGCAAGGGGGUCAUCCCGACUUACCAACCCGAUGCAAACUGCGAAUACCGGAGAAUGUUAUCACGGGAGACACACGGCGGGUGCUAACGUCCGUCGUGAAGAGGGAAACAACCCAGACCGCCAGCUAAGGUCCCAAAGUCAUGGUUAAGUGGGAAACGAUGUGGGAAGGCCCAGACAGCCAGGAUGUUGGCUUAGAAGCAGCCAUCAUUUAAAGAAAGCGUAAUAGCUCACUGGUCGAGUCGGCCUGCGCGGAAGAUGUAACGGGGCUAAACCAUGCACCGAAGCUGCGGCAGCGACGCUGAUGCGUUGUUGGGUAGGGGAGCGUUCUGUAAGCCUG